Molecule: long non-coding RNA, 1143 nt
Organism: Triticum dicoccoides
Lineage: Eukaryota; Viridiplantae; Streptophyta; Magnoliopsida; Poales; Poaceae
Exons: 2
Source: RefSeq, a predicted model, not a curated record
UGGAUCCGGCCGUCGCCGUGCUUCUCGCGUCAGAUGCAGCAUCCGUUCAGCCAGAUCAGCCCCGACCGGAUCUCUUGCUAGUCGCCUCGGCCGGAUCCACCCUACCUAUGGCUGGCCCCCGAGCCGCCCCACACCACCAAGCGCCGCCGGAGCCCUACCCCACCACGCGCCGCCGGAGCCCCGCCCAACCACGCUCCGAUAGAGCCCUGCCCCGCCGCGCCAUGUGCCGCCAGAGCCCUGCUGCACUACUUGUCACGACUCCCCACUGCCUCGCACUUCCUCCCGCCAUGGCCAACGCCUCCGGAUUCCGGCUAGCCAUGGCCUCCUAGCGACGCGCCCCCGAUGGAUCCAGCCAUCCACGGCCUCCCCCCGUCGCGCUGUCGAUCGAUCCAGUCAUCCAGGGCCUCCCCGCAUCGUGCCGCCGAUGGAUCCAGCCAUCCACGGCCUCCCUUGAUGUGUCAUUGUUGGAUCCGGCCAUCCCGAGCGCCGCCCCGCCAUGGUGGUUGGGCCUCCCAUGAUCCCCCUCCCUCCGGCUCCGGCCAGCGCCAUGCCCGGCCCUUCCCGUUAGGCCGACGACACUGAUGCAGUGCAGUUCACCACAUCAUCGGGCUCGCCUCCCCUCCGCCACUCUUUGCAGUUCGCAAGCGACCUAGGCGCUCUCUGCACGGCCGCCACGAUGCAGUGCAGUUCCGCCCAUUGGUAGAGAGUGUUCGGCAGCGCUCCCGUGUCGAUGCAGCUCACUUCAUCUGCAUGGGUGGAUUUUUUUUGUUCAAACUGCAGCUCACUUCGUCCACAACCUCUCGCAACAGAGUGAAGGUGCGGGCACCCCUUCCCUGCAGCCCAACGACCGCACCUGUGCAGUCCACAAAUGAGGUCAUCAAAAAGUUGAAGAGCGGUCGGUGUGGCGCCCCUUUCCAGUUAGCGCAUCAUGCGGUGCCGUCGAGCGUGGCGUGCAGUGCAGCUCAACCAAACGUGUAGUCUACGGCCGUCACAUCCAGCUCUCUCCUGCACCUGUUUGCGCACAGCGGGAGACAAGUGCACUGCACUAGAGUGGACGGCGACAUACUUAUUUUUUAGUAGUUCAUCUUUGUUGUAUGUUUUAAUUCCAUCAUAUUUGUGGUUCCCUUGUGGUAUCCUGCAGUA